GCUGGAUUCGCUGUAAUCGCGCAUCAGCCACGGCGCGGUGAAUACGUUCCCGGGCCUUGUACACACCGCCCGUCAAGCCAUGGAAGCCGGGGGUGCCUGAAGUGCGCUGCCGCGAGGAGCGCCCUAGGGUAAAACCGGUGACUGGGGCUAAGUCGUAACAAGGUAUC
This 167-nucleotide ribosomal RNA is filed under the name uncultured bacterium. Its description in RNAcentral is "partial 16S ribosomal RNA". It matches the Rfam family "Bacterial small subunit ribosomal RNA", at positions 1325 to 1500 of the family's 1533-position model. The record is from RNAcentral.